CGCGUUAUACGAAAGGCCCUAAAUAACGACAAACCGGCGUAAAAUGUGACUAGAGAUCUAUAAUAUUUUAAAUAUUAAAAUUCAUUAGCCUAGUUGUAAAACACUUAGACAAUGGAGAAAACCAGCACAAAUAUUCUUAAUAUUAUAUUCUUGAUUACACGAAAGCUUAGAAACAAACUAGGAUUAGAUACCCUACUAUGCUAAGCCCUGAACAUUGAAAGUUACCUAUACUUUACUUUCCGCCAGAGAACUACGAGUGAAAAACUUAAAACUCAAAGGACUUGACGGUGUCCCAUAUCGG
RNAcentral lists this ribosomal RNA (301 nucleotides) under Podarcis siculus campestris. RNAcentral's name for it is "partial 12S ribosomal RNA". It matches the Rfam family "Bacterial small subunit ribosomal RNA", at positions 586 to 929 of the family's 1533-position model. Lineage: Eukaryota; Metazoa; Chordata; Lepidosauria; Squamata; Lacertidae. The record is from RNAcentral.